AGUGAACGCUGGCGGCAGGCCUAACACAUGCAAGUCGAACGGCAGCACAAGAGAGCUUGCUCUCUGGGUGGCGAGUGGCGGACGGGUGAGGAAUGCAUCGGAAUCUGCCCAUUUGUGGGGGAUAACCUCGGGAAACCGGGACUAAUACCGCAUACGACCUACGGGUGAAAGCAGGGGAUCUUCGGACCUUGCGCAGAUGGAUGAGCCGAGGCCGGAUUGGCUAGUUGGAGGGGUAAAGGCCCACCAAGGCGACGAUCCGUAGCUGGUCUGAGAGGAUGAUCAGCCACACUGGGACUGAGACACGGCCCAGACUCCUACGGGAGGCAGCAGUGGGGAAUAUUGGACAAUGGGCGCAAGCCUGAUCCAGCCAUGCCGCGUGUGUGAAGAAGGCCUUCGGGUUGUAAAGAACUUUUGUUGGGAAAGAAAAGCAGCCGGUUAAUACCCGGUUGUCAUGACGGUACCCAAAGAAUAAGCACCGGCUAACUUCGUG
RNAcentral lists this ribosomal RNA (490 nucleotides) under uncultured bacterium. RNAcentral's name for it is "partial 16S ribosomal RNA". It matches the Rfam family "Bacterial small subunit ribosomal RNA", at positions 29 to 507 of the family's 1533-position model. The record is from RNAcentral.